GGGAAUCGUGCGCAAUGGGCGAAAGCCUGACGCAGCGACGCCGCGUGGGUGAUGAAGGCCUUCGGGUCGUAAAGCCCUGUCGGGCGGGAAGAAAUCUCGGCGGUCUAAUAUGCCGACGACUUGACGGUACCUCUUAAGGAAGCACCGGCUAACUCCGUGACAGCAGCCGCGGUAAUACGGAGGGUGCAAGCGUUGUUCGGAAUCACUGGGCGUAAAGCGCGUGUAGGCGGCCAUCUAAGUCUGGUGUGAAAGCCCUGGGCUCAACUCAGGAAGUGCACUGGAUACUGGAUGGCUGGAGUACCGGAGAGGAGGGUGGAAUUCCUGGUGUAGCGGUGAAAUGCGUAGAUAUCAGGAGGAACACCGGUGGCGAAGGCGUCCCUCUGGCCGGAUACUGACGCUGAGACGCUAAAGCGUGGGGAGCAA
RNAcentral lists this ribosomal RNA (423 nucleotides) under uncultured bacterium. RNAcentral's name for it is "bacterial SSU rRNA". It matches the Rfam family "Bacterial small subunit ribosomal RNA", at positions 357 to 771 of the family's 1533-position model. The record is from RNAcentral.